GAUGAACGCUGGCGGCGUGCUUAACACAUGCAAGUCGAACGGAAAGGCCCAAGCUUGCUUGGGUACUCGAGUGGCGAACGGGUGAGUAACACGUGGGUGAUCUGCCCUGCACUUCGGGAUAAGCCUGGGAAACUGGGUCUAAUACCGGAUAGGACGAUGGUUUGGAUGCCAUUGUGGAAAGUUUUUUCGGUGUGGGAUGAGCUCGCGGCCUAUCAGCUUGUUGGUGGGGUAAUGGCCUACCAAGGCGUCGACGGGUAGCCGGCCUGAGAGGGUGUACGGCCACAUUGGGACUGAGAUACGGCCCAGACUCCUACGGGAGGCAGCAGUGGGAAUAUUGCACAAUGGGCGCAAGCCUGAUGCAGCGACGCCGCGUGGGGGAUGACGGCCUUCGGGUUGUAAACUCCUUUCGCUAGGGACGAAGCGUUUUUGUGACGGUACCUGGAGAAGAAGCACCGGCUAACUACGUG
RNAcentral lists this ribosomal RNA (467 nucleotides) under uncultured bacterium. RNAcentral describes it as "partial 16S ribosomal RNA". It matches the Rfam family "Bacterial small subunit ribosomal RNA", at positions 28 to 507 of the family's 1533-position model. The record is from RNAcentral.